GAUCAAGUGUCUUAAGGGCAAUUGGUGGAUGCCUUGGCAUGCACAGGCGAUGAAGGACGUGAUACGCUGCGAUAAGCUACGGGGAGGUGCGAAUACCCUUUGAUCCGUAGAUUUCCGAAUGGGGAAACCCACCUAAGGUACUUGGAAAAUCAGAGCAGCCAGAAGGUCGCAAGGCCGACUUGCUGCUGUGGUUUCCAAGUAUCGUUAAUAGGUAACUUAUCCUGAAUACAUAGGGAUAAAGUGGCGAACGCGGGGAACUGAAACAUCUAAGUACCCGUAGGAAAGGACAUCAACCGAGACUCCGGAAGUAGUGGCGAGCGAACCCGGACCAGGCCAGUGGCGAUUGAGAGACAAGCGGAACCUUCUGGAAAGUAGGGCCAUAGUGGGUGACAGCCCCGUACGCGUAAUGCAAUCAAUCGUCCUCGAGUAAGGCGGGACACGUGAAAUCCUGUCUGAAAUUGGGGGGACCACCCUCCAAGCCUAAGUACUCGUGCAUGACCGAUAGCGAACUAGUACCGUGAGGGAAAGGUGAAAAGCACCCCGACAAGGGGAGUGAAAGAGUACCUGAAACCGAUUGCCUACAAACAGUGGGAGCCCGCAAGGGUGACCACGUACCUUUUGUAUAAUGGGUCAGCGACUUAGUGUGACGAGCAAGCUUAAACCGCUAGGUGUAGGCGCAGCGAAAGCGAGUCUGAACAGGGCGUUCAGUUCGUCGCAUUAGACCCGAAACCGAGUGAUCUAGCCAUGAGCAGGUUGAAGGUAAGGUAACACUUACUGGAGGACCGAACCCAUAACUGUUGCAAUAGUUCGGGAUGACUUGUGGCUAGGGGUGAAAGGCCAAUCAAACUCGGAAAUAGCUGGUUCUCCGCGAAAUCUAUUUAGGUAGAGCGUCGACCGAAUACCCCAGGGGGUAGAGCACUGGAUGGGCUAGGGGUCCUCACCGGAUUACCAAACCUAACCAAACUCCGAAUACCUGGGAGUACUAGUCGGCAGACACACGGCGGGUGCUAACGUCCGUCGUGAAAAGGGAAACAACCCUGACCUACAGCUAAGGUCCCCAAGUUAUGGCUAAGUGGGAAAGGAUGUGAGGAUCCCAAAACAACCAGGAUGUUGGCUUAGAAGCAGCCAUCAUUUAAAGAAAGCGUAACAGCUCACUGGUCUAAAUAAGGGUCUUUGCGCCGAAAAUGUAACGGGGCUAAAGCCAUACACCGAAGCUUAGGGUUCGUAGCAAUACGAGCGGUAGCGGAGCGUUCUGUA
RNAcentral lists this ribosomal RNA (1257 nucleotides) under Mesorhizobium sp. M8A.F.Ca.ET.021.01.1.1. Its description in RNAcentral is "partial 23S ribosomal RNA". It matches the Rfam family "Bacterial large subunit ribosomal RNA", at positions 1 to 1245 of the family's 2925-position model. The record is from RNAcentral. Lineage: Bacteria; Pseudomonadati; Pseudomonadota; Alphaproteobacteria; Hyphomicrobiales; Phyllobacteriaceae.